This is a long non-coding RNA of Anastrepha ludens (Mexican fruit fly), 1125 nucleotides long. RefSeq lists it as uncharacterized. The transcript is spliced from 3 exons. NCBI's taxonomy places the organism in Eukaryota, Metazoa, Arthropoda, Insecta, Diptera, Tephritidae. The record is from RefSeq and is a predicted model, not a curated record.
AGACGCAGUGCUUGUUUCAUAGGAGAUGUUAGGUAUUUAUAAUCUGAAUAUAUUAAAAUAUGCAUAUGUACAUAUUUCCAUGAUAAAUAAAAGGAAGUUGCUUGAAGUUAAAAUCAAAGCCCAAUUCGUAUUGAAUUUCAACAAAACGUAUCAAGAAUUUUGGGGUGUUUCAUCGCACAGAUUAAUCUUUAAUCUCUACUCCGUAUUAUUAAUCUAAUCCGCCUAACCAAAAAAAUUAUGACCCGCAGAUAUUUAAGCUGUUUAGAACUUGUUUCACAUUUUUUCAAGAAUUUUUACCCAAAGUACUUGGUUGUUCAAUAAGUGAAUGCUCACGCUCUGCUAAAGACUUUUCGUCAUCAAUUAGUACAAUAGAAAGAUGGGUUGCUGAAUUUAAACUUGGUCGUACAAGCCUUGAAGGCGAUUCACGUCAAGGAACAGGAACAACUACAGAAAUCGUAGAAAAAUACAGGAUAUCGUAUUGGAAAAUCGUCGAGUGCCUGAAAGAGAUUUAGUAGAAGCCCUACGCAUCUCACUUUCGAAUGCGACUUUCUCAAAAAACAUUUAGAGCGUUUUUAAAAGGAUAAGGUGGAUUUUGUACAGCGAUUCAUCACUAUGGAUGGGAUGAUCACAUGAUCCGAAAUCAAAACAAGAGGUUAACCUGGUUCUUCGGCUCCGAAACGAGAAUCGCUGAAGGAAAAGAAUCGUGAAAAAGGACCCAGUUUGCAGAAGAAAGAAAUAUUUUUCAUCAGGUCAAUGCACCCUGCAUGCAUGGAAAGCGUUUUCAUUAACUGAUGUGGCCAUAACAGCUGUGGAAGCAUAUUUUGCAGCACUUCAGGGAUGGAAUUCAUAAAUUGGAGUCCCGUUGGUGCGAGUGUAUUGAUGGUGUUUUCUUAACGAACCCCAAAACUGUUUGAACAACCUAGUAAUUUCGUAAUGCAGAAUUUAGAACAGCUUCCAUUUUGUUUACAUACAUUUAUAGAUACAGGUAUAUGAACUUGAUAAAUGGUAAUUUUCGCUAAAAUUGACAUUCCAAAAAAAUUUAUUAACUCCAACUAUGAGUAAGCACAUUGCGUAUUGCAAAUGAUUUAUUAUUAUUAUUUUUUUUAGAAAAGUAAGCAAAAUCAU